GAUGAACGCUGGCGGCGUGCCUAAUACAUGCCAGUCGAGCGAACAGACGAGGAGCUUGCUCCUCUGACGUUAGCGGCGGACGGGUGAGUAACACGUGGAUAACCUACCUAUAAGACUGGGAUAACUUCGGGAAACCGGAGCUAAUACCGGAUAAUAUAUUGAACCGCAUGGUUCAAUAGUGAAAGACGGUUUUGCUGUCACUUAUAGAUGGAUCCGCGCCGCAUUAGCUAGUUGGUAAGGUAACGGCUUACCAAGGCAACGAUGCGUAGCCGACCUGAGAGGGUGAUCGGCCACACUGGAACUGAGACACGGUCCAGACUCCUACGGGAGGCAGCAGUAGGGAAUCUUCCGCAAUGGGCGAAAGCCUGACGGAGCAACGCCGCGUGAGUGAUGAAGGUCUUCGGAUCGUAAAACUCUGUUAUUAGGGAAGAACAAAUGUGUAAGUAACUAUGCGCGUCUUGACGGUACCUAAUCAGAAAGCCACGGCUAACUACGU
RNAcentral lists this ribosomal RNA (496 nucleotides) under uncultured bacterium. RNAcentral's name for it is "partial 16S ribosomal RNA". It matches the Rfam family "Bacterial small subunit ribosomal RNA", at positions 28 to 506 of the family's 1533-position model. The record is from RNAcentral.